RNAcentral lists this ribosomal RNA (497 nucleotides) under uncultured bacterium. Its description in RNAcentral is "partial 16S ribosomal RNA". It matches the Rfam family "Bacterial small subunit ribosomal RNA", at positions 28 to 507 of the family's 1533-position model. The record is from RNAcentral.
GACGAACGCUGGCGGCGUGCCUAAUACAUGCAAGUUGAGCGAUGAAGAUUGGUGCUUGCACCAAUUUGAAGAGCAGCGAACGGGUGAGUAACGCGUGGGGAAUCUGCCUUUGAGCGGGGGACAACAUUUGGAAACGAAUGCUAAUACCGCAUAACAACUUUAAACAUAAGUUUUAAGUUUGAAAGAUGCAAUUGCAUCACUCAAAGAUGAUCCCGCGUUGUAUUAGCUAGUUGGUGAGGUAAAGGCUCACCAAGGCGAUGAUACAUAGCCGACCUGAGAGGGUGGUCGGCCACAUUGGGACUGAGACACGGCCCAAACUCCUACGGGAGGCAGCAGUAAGGAAUCUUCGGCAAUGGACGAAAGUCUGACCGAGCAACGCCGCGUGAGUGAAGAAGGGUUUCGGAUCGGAAAACUCUGUUGGUAGAGAAGAAAGUUGGUGAGAGUGGAAAGCGCAUCAAGUGACGGUAACUACCCAGAAAGGGACGGCUAACUACGUG